UACGAAGGGGGCUAGCGUUGCUCGGAAUUACUGGGCGUAAAGCGCACGUAGGCGGCUUCUUAAGUCGGUGGUGAAAUCCUGGAGCUCAACUCCAGAACUGCCUUCGAUACUGGGAAGCUCGAGUCCGGGAGAGGUGAGUGGAACUGCGAGUGUAGAGGUGAAGUUCGUAGAUAUUCGCAAGAACACCAGUGGCGAAGGCGGCUCACUGGCCCGGUACUGACGCUGAGGUGCGAAAGCGUGGGGAGCAAACAGG
Molecule: ribosomal RNA, 253 nt
Filed under: uncultured bacterium
Lineage: Bacteria
Description: partial 16S ribosomal RNA
Rfam family: Bacterial small subunit ribosomal RNA
Source: RNAcentral